UACGUAGGGUGCAAGCGUUACUCGGAAUUACUGGGCGUAAAGCGUGCGCAGGCGGUUCUAUAAGACAGAUGUGAAAUCCCCGGGCUCAACCUGGGAACUGCAUUUGUGACUGUAGAGCUGGAGUACGGCAGAGGGGGAUGGAAUUCCGCGUGUAGCAGUGAAAUGCGUAGAUAUGCGGAGGAACACCGAUGGCGAAGGCAAUCCCCUGGGCCUGUACUGACGCUCAUGCACGAAAGCGUGGGGAGCAAACAGG
Molecule: ribosomal RNA, 253 nt
Filed under: uncultured bacterium
Lineage: Bacteria
Description: partial 16S ribosomal RNA
Rfam family: Bacterial small subunit ribosomal RNA
Source: RNAcentral